UGUUGGGUUAAGUCCCGCAACGAGCGCAACCCUUAUUUUUAGUUGCCUUUAUGGAACUCUAGAAAGACUGCCGGUUAUAAACCGGAGGAAGGCGGGGAUGACGUCAAGUCAGCAUGCCCCUUACACCCUGGGCUACACACGUGCUACAAUGGGCGAGACAAUGAGACGCAAAUCUGCGAAGACUAGCUAAUCUAUAAACUCGUUCUAAGUUCGGAUUGCAGGCUGCAACUCGCCUGCAUGAAGUUGGAAUCGCUAGUAAUCGCUGGUCAGCUAUACAGCGGUGAAUUCGUUCCCGGGCCUUGUACACACCGCCCGUCACACCAUGGGAGUGGGAUGCAAAAGAAGUAGUUAGUCUAACCUUCGGGAGGACGAUUACCACUUUGUGUUUCAUGACUGGGGUGAAGUCGUAACAAGGUAACCCUAGGGGAACCUGGGGUUGGAUCACCUCCUU
Molecule: ribosomal RNA, 451 nt
Filed under: Asterionellopsis glacialis
Lineage: Eukaryota; Bacillariophyta; Plagiogrammaphyceae; Rhaphoneidales; Asterionellopsidaceae
Description: partial Bacterial small subunit ribosomal RNA
Rfam family: Bacterial small subunit ribosomal RNA
Source: RNAcentral